GAUGAACGCUGGCGGCGUGCCUAAUACAUGCAAGUCGAGCGAACGGACGAGAAGCUUGCUUCUCUGAUGUUAGCGGCGGACGGGUGAGUAACACGUGGAUAACCUACCUAUAAGACUGGGAUAACUUCGGGAAACCGUAGCUAAUACCGGAUAAUAUUUUGAACCGCAUGGUUCAAAAGUGAAAGACGGUCUUGCUGUCACUUAUAGAUGGAUCCGCGCUGCAUUAGCUAGUUGGUAAGGUAACGGCUUACCAAGGCAACGAUGCAUAGCCGUCCUGAGAGGGUGAUCGGCCACACUGGAACUGAGACACGGUCCAGACUCCUACGGGAGGCAGCAGUAGGGAAUCUUCCGCAAUGGGCGAAAGCCUGACGGAGCAACGCCGCGUGAGUGAUGAAGGUCUUCGGAUCGUAAAACUCUGUUAUUAGGGAAGAACAUAUGUGUAAGUAACUGUGCACAUCUUGACGGUACCUAAUCAGAAAGCCACGGCUAACUACGUG
RNAcentral lists this ribosomal RNA (497 nucleotides) under uncultured bacterium. Its description in RNAcentral is "partial 16S ribosomal RNA". It matches the Rfam family "Bacterial small subunit ribosomal RNA", at positions 28 to 507 of the family's 1533-position model. The record is from RNAcentral.